AUCUAUACUGUGAAACUGCGAAUGGCUCAUUAAAUCAGUUAUCGUUUAUUUGAUAGUACCUUACUACUUGGAUAACCGUGGUAAUUCUAGAGCUAAUACAUGCUAAAAACCCCGACUUCGGAAGGGGUGUAUUUAUUAGAUAAAAAACCAAUGCCCUUCGGGGCUCCUUGGUGAUUCAUGAUAACUUAACGAAUCGCAUGGCCUUGCGCCGGCGAUGGUUCAUUCAAAUUUCUGCCCUAUCAACUUUCGAUGGUAGGAUAGUGGCCUACCAUGGUAUCAACGGGUAACGGGGAAUUAGGGUUCUAUUCCGGAGAGGGAGCCUGAGAAACGGCUACCACAUCCAAGGAAGGCAGCAGGCGCGCAAAUUACCCAAUCCCGACACGGGGAGGUAGUGACAAUAAAUACUGAUACAGGGCUCUUUUGGGUCUUGUAAUUGGAAUGAGUACAAUUUAAAUACCUUAACGAGGAACAAUUGGAGGGCAAGUCUGGUGCCAGCAGCCGCGGUAAUUCCAGCUCCAAUAGCGUAUAUUAAAGUUGUUGCAGUUAAAAAGCUCGUAGUUGAACCUUGGGCCUGGCUGGCCGGUCCGCCUCACCGCGUGUACUGGUCCGGCCGGGCCUUUCCUUCUGGGGAUCCGCAUGCCCUUCACUGGGUGUGUCGGGGAACCAGGACUUUUACUUUGAAAAAAUUAGAGUGUUCAAAGCAGGCCUUUGCUCGAAUACAUUAGCAUGGAAUAAUAGAAUAGGACGUGCGGUCCUAUUUUGUUGGUUUCUAGGACCGCCGUAAUGAUUAAUAGGGAUAGUCGGGGGCAUCAGUAUUCAAUUGUCAGAGGUGAAAUUUUUUGGAUUUAUUGAAGACUAACUACUGCGAAAGCAUUUGCCAAGGAUGUUUUCAUUAAUCAGUGAACGAAAGUUAGGGGGUUGAAAGACGAUCAGAUACCGUCGUAGUCUUAACCGUAAACUAUGCCGACUAGGGAUCGGGCGAUGUUAUUCUUUUGACUCGCUCGGCACCUUACGAGAAAUCAAAGUCU
RNAcentral lists this ribosomal RNA (1028 nucleotides) under Dothiorella rosulata. Its description in RNAcentral is "SSU rRNA". It matches the Rfam family "Eukaryotic small subunit ribosomal RNA", at positions 72 to 1106 of the family's 1831-position model. The record is from RNAcentral. Lineage: Eukaryota; Fungi; Ascomycota; Dothideomycetes; Botryosphaeriales; Botryosphaeriaceae.